Molecule: long non-coding RNA, 4203 nt
Organism: Manacus vitellinus (golden-collared manakin)
Lineage: Eukaryota; Metazoa; Chordata; Aves; Passeriformes; Pipridae
Source: Ensembl
GAAGAACUAUCCAUAACACCUGGAGUUCUUCUCUGAAAGUCUCUCCCUUUUUCUAAUUUUCUAAAUUUGUAUUAUAUGUAUAUUUCAUAUAUAUAUUCAGUAUAAUUGAUGAAGAGCCAACACCCAUUUGGAACAGAGUUAACUCAUGUGGUCUGAUUUGUUUCACAAGUUCAAGUGACAGCUCCACCGAAGAAGAAGAAGAGACUGUGACAAUUAAGGAUGAAGCAGAAAGCAGAAUGAGGAAUUGCUCAGGGAAAAGCCUGUUACUGCAACAACUCCGAGCAGCCCGUAAAGAGACCUCGGAGCUUCUUUGUAAAGCAUCUGCUCCAACUGAGAAACUGGAUCCAGAAAGUCUGGAAGACAGAGGUUCCUCUAACAUAAAUGAAACCCAAUCUUGUAAAGUGAGGCAAGAGACAAAUAAGGUGGUUCCCAGGAAACUAAUGAGAUUGGAACCAGAGAAGAAAAGUCCCCCUUUGUCAAGCUGUGGGGACAAUGAAGCUGACAUAGAAAAAGGAAACAAAAUGGAAGCUGAGAAGGUUCAGAAUUCAGGAAAUGCUCCAGAGUGUCCUCUAAUUACAACGGAAUUGCCAAGGACACAAGAAAGUGAAAGAGAGCUAUCCCAAAAAGAAGAGCAGAUGAAAGAGAGACAGAGGAGACUCAGAUUCCAGGAGCAGCUGGAGGGAUUGCAGCCUCAGCAGUCAGUGUCUGGGAAGCAGCCCAUGGCAGAGAACACCCCUGUUCUGUUCCACAUGGAAGCCUCUUAUUUGCCAGCUAUUGACACAUUGCCUGGCCCACAGAGUGUGAAGAAUGAGGUGCUGCUGCUGACCAUUAGGCUGACAAGCUGUGGCCAAGUGGCCACAGAUCAGUGUGAUGGGCAGGUGCCUGACAAGGUGCUGGGAGCAGCCAACAUCUACCAGGCCCUCGUGACGUGGCUGCUCUCUCUGGUGCCUCCUUUGAAAAGGAACAAUGGCCCCAGAGCUCCGUUUGAGGUGGUGGGGCUGCAGCAGGCCUGGAGGGAGGAAGGCUUGGCCCUCUGUGCUGGUCUGAUCCCAGCAGAUGAGUCUUCAGCCCAGAGCUGCCCCAGGACCCACGAGGCACAAAACACAGAAGAUCUACGAGGACCAUCUGUGUUUUACCAGAAGAUUUCUGCAUUUCUUGCCUCUACAUGGCUUCCAGAUGUUAUUUGGUGGAGGGCAGAACUGGCCAGUUGCUUCCAAAACCAGCCGUGUCCACUUCUUCAUGAUAUUCCCUCUGUCCUGCUCAGUAACGUUGUUGCUGUUAACCCCGACCCUCAGGUUGCCAUGGUGCUGCUGUUUGAGAGGCUCCUCCGAAGUCCCCUGGCUGCCCAUCACCUGCUGCAGCUGCUGCUCAGCUCUGGCCUGGAUGUCUGUGGCCUCCGCCUGCUCUAUCCCCAGCAGGAUGUGCUGCUCUCCAGCUCAGAAAAGCUACCUUCUUCCUACACCUCAGAGCUUGGCAACGUGCCACCAGUGCUGGCACUGGGUGUGAGAGGGCCUAGAGCACGUGGCACCUUGCAGGACAUCAUGGGGCCAUCUGACCCAUGGCUGGCCAGAGUGACAGACUGUGGUUCCAUCAAUGCCAUCUACAGCGAGAGCCAAGAGGAGCCUCUCAUGUACCUGCCCUGCCUGGACAGCCACAGGGAGCUGUGCCUCUGGUUUGGAGGAAGGGCUGCUGGGAUCCUGCACCUGCCUUCCAGCUCUCAGGGUCCUUCAUCAGCUGGGACAGAAGCAGAUGAAGAAAAGAUUGAUCUCCAGAGCAUGAUGCUGCCUCGACAUCCAGCCAUGCUUGCCUCAACUACCAAAGGGGACAUCAUUUUGCUGGUGUCGCCUGUGGUGUCUCCUCGUGUCUAUGGAAGGGUGAUGUCUGUCUGCGCUCGUCGGGGGUUUGUCCUGCAAGGCCUCAGGCAGCUGCAGCUCUCACCCCAGCAAGGCCUUGUGCUGAGCAUGACAACAAGGCAGAUUGAUGUUUUUUGCCCUGGAAAGAGUUCAAGCUCACCUGAUAGUCCUGCAAGGGGAGAACUCCCAGCUGAACCACGGGGGCACUGCCUCGUUUUGUUGCUGAGGAAGGAGAAUGCAAGUCAUCACAUUCCUGCCCUGAUGAAAGGGCUGAUGGAUGAGCUGGCAAAGCCAGGCCUUGGCAGUGGGCAGAGCAGCCCCCCUGUGACUGCUGGCCUGGAUGCCUCUGUCUGCUUCCACGUGGCUCCGUACGCCGAGACCUCGCUGCAGGCCCUGGGAGGAAACCUCAGCGCAGUUCCAGAGCCCCACAACAUUCCUCUGGAUUUUUUCUGCCAGCGAACGUACGCUGCUGAUCCCGGGAUGGAGCAAGUUGUGACACUGACAGUGGUUGGAAUGGAGACCAUGAAAAGUGCUGGAGAGCUCCUUCACCAGAUCCUGUUUCCUGGGCUUAACAACCAGUCUCGGAGUGCAGGAGUCUUGGAGGGAUUAACACAGUGUAGGGAGAAGCUCACCACAAGUGGAAGUCUCCCACAGGCAGUAAUGGCCUUGACUCCAGAGGUGACAUUCAGACAAGCCAUCCUCUUCUUCACAGAGGCUGAUUUUGUAGCCGAUGCAGAACACCGCCCUGCCAUGAAAUACCUGCCACCUCCUGGCAGGAGGUCCAGGGCUGAAGUGGGUGAGAGCUGGAGAGGCCGUGCAGAGUCCCUGUUUGCCUACCUGCACACAGGAGCCCAGGUCCUCUGCACAGUGCUGCUCAUCAAACCCAGGGUCUGGAGCCAGAAUCUUGCCAGGAUCCUCAGAAACCUAGACCUGGAAAAAUUCACCCUGGUCGGAAUGAAACACGUAGACCUGGAACCAGCCCUUGCUCUGGGACUCCUUCCUGCUGAAGUGAAACAGGAUCCUGCUGCUUUAGAAGCUCACUGUACCUACCUCACCUCAGGCACUGCUCUCGUGCUGUGUCUGCAGAGGCCAAAUGCUGUGAAGAAGCUGGUGGAUCUCCUGGGGCCAGAGGAUCCUGAACUAGCCCAAGCAGUAGAUCCCUGCCUCUGGAGGGCUCAGUAUGGCACCAACACAGUCCACAAUGGAUUUUAUGGCUCCAAAUCCUAUCAAAUGGCUGUCCGGGAUAUGAAGCUGUUUUUCCCAGAAGGGCUGUGCUGUGCCAAUUGUCAGACACUGGAGGAAGAAGAGAUUUAUAACCUGAAACGUGACCCCAUAUUCAGUCUGGAAGUCAGCAAGAAGCACAAGAUCCUAAACUGUGAGCCAGGAAGAAAACCCAGUGUUCUGGGCUCUGAGCAGCUAUGCAGUCCUGGUCAGCCAUUGCUGGACACCCGCUGCCAAAGCACUUGCCUCGUGUUGCCUGGGAUAAUCCUGCGGGGUUCAGAGCCCCCACCUUACGUGGACCUGCUGGAUGAGCUUCUUGGCAGAGGUUUUGUGGUGACUGGAGCUCGUCUCACCGUGCUGGACAUGCCACAGGCUCUCUGCAUCUCCAGGACACUCAGCAGGGCCAAGGGCAGUGUGGCAGCAAAGUGUUCCCUCCUGAAGGAUGGUUUGUGCCUGGUGCUGGCAGCACAGCGGGACAAUGCUGUCACCUGCCUCUGCUCCCUGCUGGACAGUGCCUGCUGGCAGAAGCAGUCCAUCCUGAACACUGCAGAGCAUCUCCUUUAUCCCCAGAAUGAGAAUCAGGCCCAGGAGCUGCUCUGCAGCCUUUUUGACUCGCUGACAUCAGAGAGCAUCCACCAGAUUGAAUCCCAGGAUUCUUAGCCAAGGCAGUCAAGGCCUCCAAGCAGCCUUGGAUGCCACUGUGGAGAUGGACACAUGGGGACUCCCAGCUCUCAGAACACUAAUAUUUGUUUGGGAUUAAAAAGCAAAGUCUGAAGUGUGGCAUUAGCAUUGCUAAGAUAAAUGAGAGUGGUGGGAGGAAGGAUCAGAGCCCCAAAACAAAUAUUUCUGAACUGUAGCCAUGGUUUCUAAUGGAAUGCAUUCAGAGACAGUCUGCUUGUGUCCAUGGAGCAAGGUUUGGAGCAUUCCUCUGACUGGGAAAAGUUCAGUAAGUGAACUUUUCAGCAGUGUUCACUGCUAUCUGUCUCUCAGGUUCUUGGGAACUUCAUCUUCCCCAAGCCUCAAAGACUUCAUGGAGAGAUUCAGUAGCUGCUGCUGCUAGUGUGUUCUCUGAACCAAAGACAAAACCACAGCAAAUAAAAUGGAAAUAGUCUGAGAGAAGGUUGGAUCC